Molecule: ribosomal RNA, 440 nt
Filed under: Cladosporium sp. 1 CET-2016
Lineage: Eukaryota; Fungi; Ascomycota; Dothideomycetes; Cladosporiales; Cladosporiaceae
Description: eukaryotic LSU rRNA
Rfam family: 5.8S ribosomal RNA (bases 78-231)
Source: RNAcentral
UCGGGCGGGGGCUCCGGGUGGACACUUCAAACUCUUGCGUAACUUUGCAGUCUGAGUAAACUUAAUUAAUAAAUUAAAACUUUUAACAACGGAUCUCUUGGUUCUGGCAUCGAUGAAGAACGCAGCGAAAUGCGAUAAGUAAUGUGAAUUGCAGAAUUCAGUGAAUCAUCGAAUCUUUGAACGCACAUUGCGCCCCCUGGUAUUCCGGGGGGCAUGCCUGUUCGAGCGUCAUUUCACCACUCAAGCCUCGCUUGGUAUUGGGCAACGCGGUCCGCCGCGUGCCUCAAAUCGACCGGCUGGGUCUUCUGUCCCCUAAGCGUUGUGGAAACUAUUCGCUAAAGGGUGUUCGGGAGGCUACGCCGUAAAACAACCCCAUUUCUAAGGUUGACCUCGGAUCAGGUAGGGAUACCCGCUGAACUUAAGCAUAUCAAUAAGCGGAG